UGCCUACGGGAGGCAGCAGUGAGGGAUAUUGGUCAAUGGGGGAAACCCUGAACCAGCAACGCCGCGUGAGGGAAGACGGUUUUCGGAUUGUAAACCUCUGUCCUCUGUGAAGAUAAUGACGGUAGCAGAGGAGGAAGCUCCGGCUAACUACGUGCCAGCAGCCGCGGUAAUACGUAGGGGGCAAGCGUUAUCCGGAUUUACUGGGUGUAAAGGGAGCGUAGACGGAGGAGCAAGUCUGAUGUGAAAAUCCGGGGCCCAACCCCGGAACUGCAUUGGAA
This 278-nucleotide ribosomal RNA is filed under the name uncultured bacterium. Its description in RNAcentral is "partial 16S ribosomal RNA". It matches the Rfam family "Bacterial small subunit ribosomal RNA", at positions 335 to 631 of the family's 1533-position model. The record is from RNAcentral.